Molecule: long non-coding RNA, 269 nt
Organism: Belonocnema kinseyi
Lineage: Eukaryota; Metazoa; Arthropoda; Insecta; Hymenoptera; Cynipidae
Exons: 3
Source: RefSeq, a predicted model, not a curated record
UCGAUAAUAGUCUGCCAACGCGCGGUAUAGUCUACUUCAAUGUUGAAAUAAAAGAAUCUUUACGUUUCAAGGUCGCUGAAAUAGGUUUGGAUGUUCCUGACAGCACUAUAGUGCUUUAAAGCGGAGUACUUUGCGGUGGAGUGUGUCUGGUGGAAGGUGGCAGCCCUGGAGGAGUACGUUCGUUAGUCACAACUUGAAAAUCAGAGUGAAGAAGUUGAAAAAGGAGGUCUAGUUUUGGAGUAAAGCUGCACAAAUUAAUCAGAGGGGGU